Molecule: ribosomal RNA, 568 nt
Filed under: Candidatus Phytoplasma sacchari
Lineage: Bacteria; Bacillati; Mycoplasmatota; Mollicutes; Acholeplasmatales; Acholeplasmataceae
Description: bacterial SSU rRNA
Rfam family: Bacterial small subunit ribosomal RNA
Source: RNAcentral
ACGCCGUAAACGAUGAGUACUAAGUGUCGGGAUUACUCGGUACUGAAGUUAACACAUUAAGUACUCCGCCUGAGUAGUACGUACGCAAGUAUGAAACUUAAAGGAAUUGACGGGACUCCGCACAAGCGGUGGAUCAUGUUGUUUAAUUCGAAGAUACACGAAAAACCUUACCAGGUCUUGACAUACUCUGCAAAGCUAUAGCAAUAUAGUGGAGGUUAUCAGGGAUACAGGUGGUGCAUGGUUGUCGUCAGCUCGUGUCGUGAGAUGUUAGGUUAAGUCCUAAAACGAGCGCAACCCUUGUCAUUAGUUGCCAGCAUGUCAUGAUGGGCACUUUAAUGAGACUGCCAAUGAAAAAUUGGAGGAAGGUGAGGAUCACGUCAAAUCAUCAUGCCCCUUAUGAUCUGGGCUACAAACGUGAUACAAUGGCUGUUACAAAGAGUAGCUGAAACGCAAGUUUAUAGCCAAUCUCAUAAAAGCAGUCUCAGUUCGGAGUUGAAGUCUGCAACUCGACUUCAUGAAGUUGGAAUCGCUAGUAAUCGCGAAUCAAGCAAUUUCCGGGCCGUAAUUU